UAUCCUGUCUGAAUAUGGGGGGACCAUCCUCCAAGGCUAAAUACUCCUGACUGACCGAUAGUGAACCAGUACCGUGAGGGAAAGGCGAAAAGAACCCCGGCGAGGGGAGUGAAAAAGAACCUGAAACCGUGUACGUACAAGCAGUGGGAGCCCCACCACCAAAGCAUUUGCUGUACCGCGUUGACGGAGCGAAGCGACGUCAAACCGAUAAAACAGCAGUGUAAAGUGAGCCGCAGGGCGCUUUGCGCGACAGCGCAAAGGCAGGCGGUUUCGCGUAGCGAAAGCGAAUGCUUUGGGGUGGGGUGACUGCGUACCUUUUGUAUAAUGGGUCAGCGACUUAUAUUCUGUAGCAAGGUUAACCGAAUAGGGGAGCCGGAGGGAAACCGAGUCUUAAUUGGGCGUUAAGUUGCAGGGUAUAGACCCGAAACCCGGUGAUCUAGCCAUGGGCAGGUUGAAGGUUGGGUAACACUAACUGGAGGACCGAACCGACUAAUGUUGAAAAAUUAGCGGAUGACCUGUGGCUGGGGGUGAAAGGCCAAUCAAACCGGGAGAUAGCUGGUUCUCCCCGAAAGCUAUUUAGGUAGCGCCUCGUGAAUUCAUCUCCGGGGGUAGAGCACUGUUUCGGCUAGGGGGCCAUCCCGGCUUACCAACCCGAUGCAAACUGCGAAUACCGGAGAAUGUUAUCACGGGAGACACACGGCGGGUGCUAACGUCCGUCGUGAAGAGGGAAACAACCCAGACCGCCAGCUAAGGUCCCAAAGUCAUGGUUAAGUGGGAAACGAUGUGGGAAGGCCCAGACAGCCAGGAUGUUGGCUUAGAAGCAGCCAUCAUUUAAAGAAAGCGUAAUAGCUCACUGGUCGAGUCGGCCUGCGCGGAAGAUGUAACGGGGCUAAACCAUGCACCGAAGCUGCGGCAGCGACACUGUGUGUUGUUGGGUAGGGGAGCGUUCUGUAAGCCUGUGAAGGUGUGUCGUGAGGCAUGCUGGAGGUAUCAGAAGUGCGAAUGCUGACAUAAGUAACGAUAAAGCGGGUGAAAAGCCCGCUCGCCGGAAGACCAAGGGUUCCUGUCCAACGUUAAUCGGGGCAGGGUGAGUCGACCCCUAAGGCGAGGCCGAAAGGCGUAGUCGAUGGGAAACGGGUUAAUAUUCCCGUACUUGGUGUUACUGCGAAGGGGGGACGGAGAAGGCUAUGUUGGCCGGG
Molecule: ribosomal RNA, 1199 nt
Filed under: Salmonella enterica
Lineage: Bacteria; Pseudomonadati; Pseudomonadota; Gammaproteobacteria; Enterobacterales; Enterobacteriaceae
Also listed under: 1 other name
Description: partial 23S ribosomal RNA
Rfam family: Bacterial large subunit ribosomal RNA
Source: RNAcentral